This is a small nuclear RNA of Cricetulus griseus (Chinese hamster), 124 nucleotides long. The record is from Ensembl. Lineage: Eukaryota; Metazoa; Chordata; Mammalia; Rodentia; Cricetidae.
GUGCAAGCACUCUAAACAUCCCCUUCAGUCCUGCACAGAUGCUAAAACUGGAACGAUACAGGGGAGAUCAGCGUGGUCCCUGUGCAAGGAUGGCACGCAAAUCUGGGGACUGUUUCAUGGUGUG